RNAcentral lists this long non-coding RNA (304 nucleotides) under Elaeis guineensis (African oil palm). Its description in RNAcentral is "long non-coding RNA (EGUI_LNC047077)". Lineage: Eukaryota; Viridiplantae; Streptophyta; Magnoliopsida; Arecales; Arecaceae. The record is from RNAcentral.
GUGUAGAGAUACUGGAUGACAAGUGGAGAUAGUUGUUGGAGAACAACUAGUACUGAGCAUGACCAUACGAGAAAUCAUUUAGAUUUUUAUUCAAUCAUCAGUGAUUGUCUCGAUGUUGUAGUUGUGUAAAUGAUCUUUUGAUCUGAGAUGGUACUACUACUCGCAGUGACACUGCUGGAGUUUGACUGAUAUAUAAACAUAGAUUUUAAUGAGCCCUUGUAGUGGAUGUUGGCACAGUUGUUCUACUGUAGGAGUAGGAUAUGCAUCAAGAUGGGAUCUAUCGAUUUUGAUAGAGAGAAGUAGU